AAUGUUUCUCAUGUCAUGAAGUUUCCAAAACAUCCAUCACACUGCAUGAAAUUGGAAUAUAUGAUCACUUGCUUAUUCAUGAAGUUUUCAAAGGAAAAUUACCAAAAUCAAAAUUGGUUGAUCACAUGCAUGUAAUUCCAUUUCCAAUGUGUGCAUGGAGUAAUUUUGAGUGGAUUUGGGCCAGCUUGGUGUACUGUUCACGUGUGCUUCCCAUGCAUGAGGUGAAAAUGAAAAUUGGUGCAUAAACCUUG
This 251-nucleotide long non-coding RNA is filed under the name Lathyrus oleraceus (garden pea). RNAcentral's name for it is "Pisum sativum (pea) long non-coding RNA (PSAT_LNC000463)". The record is from RNAcentral. Lineage: Eukaryota; Viridiplantae; Streptophyta; Magnoliopsida; Fabales; Fabaceae.